Non-coding RNA from Triticum urartu, 508 nucleotides. Lineage: Eukaryota; Viridiplantae; Streptophyta; Magnoliopsida; Poales; Poaceae. The record is from RefSeq and is a predicted model, not a curated record.
CGACCGGCCGGCCCCUCCGGCGACCGCCCCCUACCGCUCCGGUGGUCGUCCCCUGCCCCGACCGGCCGCCCCCUGUUCCGUUGGUCGCCCCCUCAUCCGUAGAGGAUUUCUGGUGUUGCCUCCGGUGGAGUGAUCAUUGACGUUGGAGCUCUUGGUCUUUGAUUGUCCCUUCGCUGAUCGACUACAUCAUCUACAUCCGAGGGUUUAAUAAUCAUGGGCAAGUCCAGCGGCGCUAGUUUCCUCAGUAAAUUUAAAGGACUUACUCGGAGUGGACGAGCCCACAAGGUUCCCUCCCGACUACGUGAGGAUGACACCUCACAGGGAGGUGGAGGGGUCGGGGGAGGAGACCCUAGAGGAGGAGGCGGUGGGGGGAGAGCCCCUAGAGGAGGAGGCGGUGGGGGGAGAGCCCCUAGAGGAGGAGGAGGUGGGGGGAGAGGCAACCGGGGCAAAAAACUCCGGGCCGUGUCUGAAAUAGGAGGGUCUUCUUCGAUGCCCUCCUAUACAGAGG